UCAUAGCUCAAUUGGAUAGAGCAUUUGACUACGGAUCAAAAGGUUGCGGGUUCAACUCCUACUGGG
This 66-nucleotide transfer RNA is filed under the name human gut metagenome. It matches the Rfam family "tRNA", at positions 6 to 65 of the family's 71-position model. From Rfam's summary of the family: Transfer RNA (tRNA) molecules are approximately 80 nucleotides in length. Their secondary structure includes four short double-helical elements and three loops (D, anti-codon, and T loops). The record is from RNAcentral. RNAcentral also lists the same sequence under 1 other name.